AACCUAGCACACCUGCGGUGUGUACCUGCGGAGGGAUCAUUACAGAGUUGCAAAACUCCCUAAACCAUUGUGAACGUUACCUAAACCGUUGCUUCGGCGGGCGGCCCGGGUCCUUCCCGGCGCCCAUCGGCCCUCGCGGGCGCCCGCCGGAGGUAAACCAAACUAUUGCAUUGUAUGGCCUCUCUGAGUCUUCUGUACUGAAUAAGUCAAAACUUUCAACAAUGGAUCUCAGAUCGGAAG
This 240-nucleotide unclassified non-coding RNA is filed under the name soil metagenome. Its description in RNAcentral is "partial contains 5.8S ribosomal RNA, internal transcribed spacer 2, and large subunit ribosomal RNA". The record is from RNAcentral.